GGACUACUGGGGUAUCUAAUCCUGUUUGCUACCCACGCUUUCGUGUCUCAGCGUCAACAAUGGUCCAGAAAGCCGUCUACACCACAGGUGUUCCUCCUGAUAUCUACGCAUUUCACCGCUACACCAGGAAUUCCGCUUUCCUCUCCCACGUUCGAGCACCCCAGUUUCCGGCGCACCCUCCCAGUUGAGCCGGGAGAUUUCACACCGAACUUAAGGCACCGCCUACACACUCUUUACGCCCAGUAAUUCCGAACAACGCUCGCUGCCUACGUAUUACCGCGGCGGCUGGCAC
Molecule: ribosomal RNA, 292 nt
Filed under: uncultured Acidobacteriota bacterium
Lineage: Bacteria; Pseudomonadati; Acidobacteriota
Description: uncultured Acidobacteria bacterium partial 16S ribosomal RNA
Source: RNAcentral